AAUACUUUGCUUCUCCGACCCUGUGGUCCUAAGGGCUUGCUCAAGUAGCGAGCCUAUGGCAGCUGGGCGAUAGGGUAUAGCCGGAAACAGCUAUGCCUGCCGUGUUUGCAAAGGAGGGGCCGUCAGCGAGAG
Molecule: non-coding RNA, 132 nt
Filed under: Chloroflexota bacterium
Lineage: Bacteria; Bacillati; Chloroflexota
Description: Chloroflexi bacterium MoCo sequence
Rfam family: Molybdenum/Tungsten riboswitch aptamer (Moco RNA motif)
Source: RNAcentral